This 57-nucleotide transfer RNA is filed under the name Loxodonta africana (African savanna elephant). It matches the Rfam family "tRNA", at positions 8 to 63 of the family's 71-position model. Rfam says of the family: Transfer RNA (tRNA) molecules are approximately 80 nucleotides in length. Lineage: Eukaryota; Metazoa; Chordata; Mammalia; Proboscidea; Elephantidae. The record is from Rfam by way of RNAcentral.
UGGCUCAGUGGUUAAGCGCUCAGCUGCUAACUGAAAGGUUGGUGGUUUGAGCCCACC